UGGUGUGUAGCUUAAUGGUGAAGCGCUCCCCUGUUAAGGGAGAUAUUGUAGGUUCGAGUCCUACCACAUCAG
This 72-nucleotide transfer RNA is filed under the name Planctomycetota bacterium. RNAcentral's name for it is "Planctomycetes bacterium tRNA-Asn". It matches the Rfam family "tRNA". Rfam says of the family: Transfer RNA (tRNA) molecules are approximately 80 nucleotides in length. Their secondary structure includes four short double-helical elements and three loops (D, anti-codon, and T loops). Further hydrogen bonds mediate the characteristic L-shaped molecular structure. tRNAs have two regions of fundamental functional importance: the anti-codon, which is responsible for specific mRNA codon recognition, and the 3' end, to which the tRNAs corresponding amino acid is attached (by aminoacyl-tRNA synthetases). tRNAs cope with the degeneracy of the genetic code in two manners: having more than one tRNA (with a specific anti-codon) for a particular amino acid; and 'wobble' base-pairing, i.e. permitting non-standard base-pairing at the 3rd anti-codon position. Lineage: Bacteria; Pseudomonadati; Planctomycetota. The record is from RNAcentral.